Molecule: ribosomal RNA, 665 nt
Filed under: Streptococcus mutans
Lineage: Bacteria; Bacillati; Bacillota; Bacilli; Lactobacillales; Streptococcaceae
Description: bacterial SSU rRNA
Rfam family: Bacterial small subunit ribosomal RNA
Source: RNAcentral
AUGGACGAAAGUCUGACCGAGCAACGCCGCGUGAGUGAAGAAGGUUUUCGGAUCGUAAAGCUCUGUUGUAAGUCAAGAACGUGUGUGAGAGUGGAAAGUUCACACAGUGACGGUAGCUUACCAGAAAGGGACGGCUAACUACGUGCCAGCAGCCGCGGUAAUACGUAGGUCCCGAGCGUUGUCCGGAUUUAUUGGGCGUAAAGGGAGCGCAGGCGGUCAGGAAAGUCUGGAGUAAAAGGCUAUGGCUCAACCAUAGUGUGCUCUGGAAACUGUCUGACUUGAGUGCAGAAGGGGAGAGUGGAAUUCCAUGUGUAGCGGUGAAAUGCGUAGAUAUAUGGAGGAACACCAGUGGCGAAAGCGGCUCUCUGGUCUGUCACUGACGCUGAGGCUCGAAAGCGUGGGUAGCGAACAGGAUUAGAUACCCUGGUAGUCCACGCCGUAAACGAUGAGUGCUAGGUGUUAGGCCCUUUCCGGGGCUUAGUGCCGGAGCUAACGCAAUAAGCAUUCCGCCUGGGGAGUACGACCGCAAGGUUGAAACUCAAAGGAAUUGACGGGGGCCCGCACAAGCGGUGGAGCAUGUGGUUUAAUUCGAAGCCACGCGAAGAACCUUACCAGGUCUUGACAUUCCGAUGCUAUUCUUAGAGAUAGGAAGUUACUUCGGUACA